UACGUAGGGGGCGAGCGUUGUCCGGAGUUACUGGGCGUAAAGCGCACGCAGGCGGUCUGCUAAGUUUGGAGUGACAGUUGGUGGCUUAACUGCCAAAGUGCUUCGAAAACUGACAGACUUGAGGGCUUCAGAGGGACACGGAAUUCCGGGUGGAGUGGUGAAAUGCGUAGAGAUCCGGAGGAACACCAAAGGCGAAGGCAGUGUCCUGGGGAGUAACUGACGCUCAGGUGCGAAAGCCAGGGGAGCGAACGGG
RNAcentral lists this ribosomal RNA (253 nucleotides) under uncultured bacterium. Its description in RNAcentral is "partial 16S ribosomal RNA". It matches the Rfam family "Bacterial small subunit ribosomal RNA", at positions 524 to 776 of the family's 1533-position model. The record is from RNAcentral.